RNAcentral lists this ribosomal RNA (497 nucleotides) under uncultured bacterium. Its description in RNAcentral is "partial 16S ribosomal RNA". It matches the Rfam family "Bacterial small subunit ribosomal RNA", at positions 28 to 507 of the family's 1533-position model. The record is from RNAcentral.
GAUGAACGCUGGCGGCGUGCCUAAUACAUGCAAGUCGAGCGAACAGACGAGGAGCUUGCUCCUCUGACGUUAGCGGCGGACGGGUGAGUAACACGUGGAUAACCUACCUAUAAGACUGGGAUAACUUCGGGAAACCGGAGCUAAUACCGGAUAAUAUAUUGAACCGCAUGGUUCAAUAGUGAAAGACGGUUUUGCUGUCACUUAUAGAUGGAUCCGCGCCGCAUUAGCUAGUUGGUAAGGUAACGGCUUACCAAGGCAACGAUGCGUAGCCGACAUGAGAGACGGAUGAGCAACACUGGAACUGAGACACGGUCCAGGGUCCUACGGGGGGGAGGAGUGGGGAAUGUUUGGGAAUGGGCGCAAACCUGAUAAAGCAAUAAGGAGUGGGUGAAGAAGGUGUUAGGGUCGUAAAGAGUUUUUGUUGGGAAAAAAAAGCAGCCGGUUACUAACCAGCUGUCCUGACGGGAGAUAAAGAAUAAGCAACGGCUAACUUCGUG